Stegostoma tigrinum is the source of this 2464-nucleotide long non-coding RNA. RefSeq lists it as uncharacterized. The record is from RefSeq and is a predicted model, not a curated record. The transcript is spliced from 3 exons. NCBI's taxonomy places the organism in Eukaryota, Metazoa, Chordata, Chondrichthyes, Orectolobiformes, Stegostomatidae.
CUCUUACCAACUCACACCGCCCUGUCUCAGUGUCAUGUCGCUGAGCAGCUCCUCCACCCUGCCCCUCAUUGCAGAGUGCUCCAGUCUCACAGUGAAGAAUAAGUGUCGGCUGGUGAAGCCGAUGAUGGAGAAGAGAUGUCGGGUUUGGUUAAACCACAGCAUCAACUCACUGAAAGACCUGGUGGAAACAAAUAUUGAGUCAUCAAACUGGAAGAAGCUGGCAUCUUGGAAAUGAAUCCACACUGAGUUCACAUUCCAGAUCUCUGUCCAAUGGAAUUGAAGAUUAGCAGCAUCCGUUGGUGAUUCUGAUGCAUUCUCUCUCCACAUCGAAGCAGGGUCACAGCUGGGCUCUGGGCCAAAAUUCAAACCCUCCCCAACCCCUGCCCCCACCAAACAUGGGGAUGGAGAUAUGAGCAGGAGUGAGGGUUAUUCCACCUGGAAGCACUGGCUGCGUCUUCUCCAGGAAUUGGCACCCUGUGUUCUCAUCUGUAACGUAUCUUUGUAUUUGUUCAUCCUGACAAAACUGAGUUGAUGAUAAACUCAGAUUUAUAUCUCUGACCAUUCAUUCUGAGGUGUCCUGUUUGAAGGGGCUUCCAGUCUGCGGUUCUGUACCUGGUCGGACUAUUUAUUGUGGUGUAGAUCUGAAGUUCUCUUACUUAGAGUCAUAGCAUCAAAGAAGUAUACAGCACAGAAUGUCCCUCAAAACCGCUCCUGCCCCCAUCCCCAAACACAGACACCCCAGUCUGUCUUCAGAUCACCCCCAAAUUAUUUGCUGAGGAGGAGGCUGGAAUCCAAACUCAAGUAUUCCUCUUAAAAAUUUCAGCUGGAGAUUGUUGUUCAAGUAGCAACCUGAAGAGGUUAUAAAUACAGGGCAAAUAAUGCCACAUACUGGUCCAACUCCUCCUGCACACUGUAAAAUGUGUAGUCAGUGUGUCCAUUUCCAAGGAUCAGCGUUACUUUACUAGGGAUUUCCCUCUGGGAUAGCAGCAGGAGUAAAGCCUAUCAUUCGGUCAGAUCAUGGCUGGUCCUUCACCUCAUCCUCACGUUCCUUAAUUUCUUAAUAAUACAAAAAUCUGUCUUAUCUACAUCAUAGCAGUGCAUCCACAAGCUGCUGGGAAAGAGUUUCAAAGAUUUGGAUGUUUUUCAGAUCUCAGUCAAGAUGGCCAACCCCUGACGUUCUUGGUCAAUGACUAUCUUCUAAACUCCAGAGAGUAUAGGCCCAUUCUACACAAUCUCUCCUCGUGGGACAGUCCACUUGCCCAAGACAUUAAUCUAUAGUGAACUUUCAUUGCGUCAACCCUUUGAGCUACAGAGACCAAAAUUGAGCAAAGUUCAAAAGUGGUCUCAGCAUAGCCCUCAACAACAAAAGAAUUGAAAGGUCAGAGAAGAGAGGUGCAAGAUCAAGAGGUUGUCCCAGGUGUCUGUGUAAGGUGUAAGGUAGGGCAAGGCCUCGCUGGGACUGUUACUGCAGGUUCCCAGUUUGCUACACACCCUCCAGACCUCAGUGAACUGUGCUGUCCAGUGCCAUUGUUGUUGGCAACUGAAGAUCAGUGGAAUCCUAGCUCUGUGUCCCUGGAGUUCUGAUCAUAUGACAUGAUCAUGUGACAAUUGCCUGCAGUUUGUAAAUGUUUUGCAAUAACCUUCCAAAUGUUGAUUCCUUCCUAAUUGAGUUUCAGCUUGUGUGAUGGUGCUGUUAGAAAAGUAUUACCAGGAUAUUUAUAAAAUAAUGAACUUGCAUUUAUAUAGCACCUUUCAUAGCACCAGGAAACCCUACUGUAUUUUACAGUUAACAAGAUACUUUAGAAGUUCAGUCACAACUCUAAUGCAGGGAAAUGUGUCAGUCAGUUUGCAAAAUGCAAUAUAUCUACACUGCUUCUUUAGUUACUGCCCCUCUGAUAGGGCAAUGCUCCCUCAGAAGUGCCCCUCUGAUAGAGCAAUGCUCCGUCAGUACUGCCUCUCUGUCUGAAUGGUGGAGCAGGCCCAAAUAGCGGAAUGGCCUAAUUCUGCACUUCUAUCUUAUGGUCUUAUAGACGUGAUAAUACUGCCUCAGUGCUGCCCCUCUGACAGGGACAUACUCAAUUGGUGCUGUCCCUCUGACAGGGCACUAUUCCCUUGGUACAAUCCCUCCAACAGGGUGAUACUGCUAUCGCAUUGUGCUGGAGUCUCCAGCAUUGAUUAUGUGCUCAAGCACACUCUGUCCCUGUUUAAAAAGAAGUGCAUCACAGAUUCUUGUAAUGAUUUCAUUUAUCUUAAUGGCUUAAUUUGGGAGGUACUUUCAUUCUUAAAGUAUUUUUUGGAAAACAUGGAAGUUAGAGUUUUUAAUAAGUUUUGGAGUUGUGUAUCCUGUAUUAUUUCUCAUGUACUGGAUUGUAUAGCUGUUCAUGUCGCAAAUAAGAUGACAAUUUGUCCACAUUUAUCUCCUGAGCACUUUGUAUAUGUCAGCACGUAUAAUUAAGAAAUAGAA